AAAUUGAAGAGUUUGAUCAUGGCUCAGAUUGAACGCUGGCGGCAGGCCUAACACAUGCAAGUCGAGCGGUAGCACAGAGAGCUUGCUCUCGGGUGACGAGCGGCGGACGGGUGAGUAAUGUCUGGGAAACUGCCUGAUGGAGGGGGAUAACUACUGGAAACGGUAGCUAAUACCGCAUAAUGUCGCAAGACCAAAGUGGGGGACCUUCGGGCCUCAUGCCAUCAGAUGUGCCCAGAUGGGAUUAGCUAGUAGGUGGGGUAACGGCUCACCUAGGCGACGAUCCCUAGCUGGUCUGAGAGGAUGACCAGCCACACUGGAACUGAGACACGGUCCAGACUCCUACGGGAGGCAGCAGUGGGGAAUAUUGCACAAUGGGCGCAAGCCUGAUGCAGCCAUGCCGCGUGUGUGAAGAAGGCCUUCGGGUUGUAAAGCACUUUCAGCGGGGAGGAAGGCGGUGAGGUUAAUAACCUCAUCGAUUGACGUUACCCGCAGAAGAAGCACCGGCUAACUCCGUGCCAGCAGCCGCGGUAAUACGGAGGGUGCAAGCGUUAAUCGGAAUUACUGGGCGUAAAGCGCACGCAGGCGGUCUGUCAAGUCGGAUGUGAAAUCCCCGGGCUCAACCUGGGAACUGCAUUCGAAACUGGCAGGCUAGAGUCUUGUAGAGGGGGGUAGAAUUCCAGGUGUAGCGGUGAAAUGCGUAGAGAUCUGGAGGAAUACCGGUGGCGAAGGCGGCCCCCUGGACAAAGACUGACGCUCAGGUGCGAAAGCGUGGGGAGCAAACAGGAUUAGAUACCCUGGUAGUCCACGCUGUAAACGAUGUCGAUUUGGAGGUUGUGCCCUUGAGGCGUGGCUUCCGGAGCUAACGCGUUAAAUCGACCGCCUGGGGAGUACGGCCGCAAGGUUAAAACUCAAAUGAAUUGACGGGGGCCCGCACAAGCGGUGGAGCAUGUGGUUUAAUUCGAUGCAACGCGAAGAACCUUACCUGGUCUUGACAUCCACAGAACUUUCCAGAGAUGGAUUGGUGCCUUCGGGAACUGUGAGACAGGUGCUGCAUGGCUGUCGUCAGCUCGUGUUGUGAAAUGUUGGGUUAAGUCCCGCAACGAGCGCAACCCUUAUCCUUUGUUGCCAGCGGUCCGGCCGGGAACUCAAAGGAGACUGCCAGUGAUAAACUGGAGGAAGGUGGGGAUGACGUCAAGUCAUCAUGGCCCUUACGACCAGGGCUACACACGUGCUACAAUGGCAUAUACAAAGAGAAGCGACCUCGCGAGAGCAAGCGGACCUCAUAAAGUAUGUCGUAGUCCGGAUUGGAGUCUGCAACUCGACUCCAUGAAGUCGGAAUCGCUAGUAAUCGUAGAUCAGAAUGCUACGGUGAAUACGUUCCCGGGCCUUGUACACACCGCCCGUCACACCAUGGGAGUGGGUUGCAAAAGAAGUAGGUAGCUUAACCUUCGGGAGGGCGCUUACCACUUUGUGAUUCAUGACUGGGGUGAAGUCGUAACAAGGUAACCGUAGGGGAACCUGCGGUUGGAUCACCUCCUUA
This 1540-nucleotide ribosomal RNA is filed under the name Klebsiella variicola. RNAcentral describes it as "bacterial SSU rRNA". It matches the Rfam family "Bacterial small subunit ribosomal RNA". Lineage: Bacteria; Pseudomonadati; Pseudomonadota; Gammaproteobacteria; Enterobacterales; Enterobacteriaceae. RNAcentral also lists the same sequence under 1 other name. The record is from RNAcentral.